RNAcentral lists this ribosomal RNA (253 nucleotides) under uncultured bacterium. Its description in RNAcentral is "partial 16S ribosomal RNA". It matches the Rfam family "Bacterial small subunit ribosomal RNA", at positions 524 to 776 of the family's 1533-position model. The record is from RNAcentral.
UACGGAGGGAGCUAGCGUUAUUCGGAAUUACUGGGCGUAAAGCGCACGUAGGCGGCUUUGUAAGUUAGAGGUGAAAGCCCGGAGCUCAACUCCGGAAUAGCCUUUAAGACUGCAUCGCUUGAAUCCAGGAGAGGUGAGUGGAAUUCCGAGUGUAGAGGUGAAAUUCGUAGAUAUUCGGAAGAACACCAGUGGCGAAGGCGGCUCACUGGACUGGUAUUGACGCUGAGGUGCGAAAGCGUGGGGAGCAAACAGG